ACACACACACACUUCUCCCUCAUUCCACACACACACACGCACACACACCCUCCAUCUACAGAGAUCGAAGAUCUCUCUUCUCCCAAACACACACACACACACACAGAUCGGAGAUCUCUCUUCUCCAUUCUCCGAUCUCUCUUCUCCCUUAUCCGAUCUCUCUUCUCCCAAACACACACACACACACAGAGAUCUCUCGAUCUCUCUUCUCCCUUCGCCGUUGAUCGUGGCUCUGGCGAAGUCGGAGUUGGCUCAGUCGUCUCUGGCGGUGCGCCGCUGAGCAAGGAUCACGUUCAGUCAUCUGGUUUGUCUUCGUCUUCGUCAGGUUUUUGGGACGAAAUCGGCCCGGGAAUAGGCACACCGUCUCCGGCGUUCUUCUCCGACGUCGCCUCGGAGUCCGAUUGCACCAAACUCAAAAAAAUUUCGCCGAUAUUUCCAAAAUAUCGCAAUAUUUGGCCGAAAACCAUUCGGAUACCACUUAGAAUAUCCAUCACCCGAAAAACCAAUAAUAUCGGCGAUAUUUCGCCGAUAUUAUCGGCAUUUUCUUCCAUGCU
This is a long non-coding RNA of Malus domestica (apple), 554 nucleotides long. RefSeq lists it as uncharacterized. The record is from RefSeq and is a predicted model, not a curated record. Lineage: Eukaryota; Viridiplantae; Streptophyta; Magnoliopsida; Rosales; Rosaceae.